GGACUCACCAACGCUGAGCCCAGGUGUAGGGACAUCUCUAUGCCCCCGUCCAGCAGGAAGAAGUCACAGAAGAGGAGACCUUCCGCCCUCAAAACUGUAAAGAUUUAUUGGGUCAAAACUGUUCACG
Molecule: long non-coding RNA, 127 nt
Organism: Lutra lutra (Eurasian river otter)
Lineage: Eukaryota; Metazoa; Chordata; Mammalia; Carnivora; Mustelidae
Exons: 3
Source: RefSeq, a predicted model, not a curated record